UGUUGCAAGUUUGGGACCAUAGCAGAAGCACUCAUGGUGUGGUCCUGUCAGAUUCCAACAAAUCUGUGAAUUCUGCU
This 77-nucleotide ribozyme is filed under the name Crocodylus porosus (Australian saltwater crocodile). Its description in RNAcentral is "Mammalian CPEB3 ribozyme (ENSCPRG00005011422.1)". It matches the Rfam family "Mammalian CPEB3 ribozyme". Rfam says of the family: The mammalian CPEB3 ribozyme is a self cleaving RNA located in the second intron of the CPEB3 gene which belongs to a family of genes regulating messenger RNA polyadenylation. This ribozyme is highly conserved and found only in mammals. Lineage: Eukaryota; Metazoa; Chordata; Crocodylia; Crocodylidae. The record is from Rfam by way of RNAcentral.